UAUGUUUGGUACAGAUACCACAUUGUUUCUUGUUUGCCUUUUACUGGAAUUUUCUAUAUUGAUAUGCAGACAUGAAUGUGUGCCCCUCAGCUUCGGUAGACAAGGAACGCUCAAGCAAGGUCACGGGUGGUUCUGGGCUUGGCUGAGUGCAGCACCCUGGCCAAAAUGAUUGCCAACCGUCAGACGAAAAGCCUUUUGGAGCAGGACAUCUCGCAGAGAACGCUGUGCUUGAUGCUGGCCUCGACAGCCAUCUACCAUCAUCAUAGGCGGCAUCCGACUGCGUCAACGACGGCGUGGAAUUGGUAUUUCUUCGACAGAGAUGCACUGUACGUGGCCGGUUUCCGUUUUUGUAGCACUGGCUGUUGGACUACAUGCUGUCGUGGUUACGAGUGGUACAAAAAGUGAUAUUUAUGUCCAAACAAAGAAUGGUUCUUGUGUUUACCAUAACUUAACCUUACAAGAUAACAGGGACGUGAACUUGGAAUGGCCUUGCGCAAAAGUUUUAUGUAGUGUAAGAAGUGCCAUGG
This is a non-coding RNA of Dermacentor andersoni, 527 nucleotides long. Lineage: Eukaryota; Metazoa; Arthropoda; Arachnida; Ixodida; Ixodidae. The record is from RefSeq and is a predicted model, not a curated record.